Molecule: ribosomal RNA, 429 nt
Filed under: Actinomycetes bacterium
Lineage: Bacteria; Bacillati; Actinomycetota; Actinomycetes
Description: Actinobacteria bacterium partial 16S ribosomal RNA
Rfam family: Bacterial small subunit ribosomal RNA
Source: RNAcentral
UAGGGAAUCUUCCGCAAUGGGCGAAAGCCUGCCGGAGCAACGCCGCGUGAGUGAUGAAGGUCUUCGGAUCGUAAAACUCUGUUAUUAGGGAAGAACAAAUGUGUAAGUAACUAUGCACGUCUUGACGGUACCUAAUCAGAAAGCCACGGCUAACUACGUGCCAGCAGCCGCGGUAAUACGUAGGUGGCAAGCGUUAUCCGGAAUUAUUGGGCGUAAAGCGCGCGUAGGCGGUUUUUUAAGUCUGAUGUGAAAGCCCACGGCUCAACCGUGGAGGGUAAUUGGAAACUGGAAAACUUGAGUGCAGAAGAGGAAAGUGGAAUUCCAUGUGUAGCGGUGAAAUGCGCAGAGAUAUGGAGGAACACCAGUGGCGAAGGCGACUUUCUGGUCUGUAACUGAAGCUGAUGUGCGAAAGCGUGGGGAUCAAACAGG